UGAUGAAUAGGGUUCUACAAUAUUCUUGUCAUUUUCAUAUAAGGCAAAGCACAUUCAGAUUAGAUCAUACAUGUAAUUGAGUUAUUUUUGUCUACAAUAAUAGUAUUGGACUAUUUUUGUCUACAAUAAUAGUCCAAUACUCCAAUACAUAAAACAUAUAAAACUCAUUACAAGGCCAAUAAGCUACAUUCGUUUGGAGAAGAACAAAGUGAAAAAAAUCAAACAUACAUUAAAG
This 235-nucleotide long non-coding RNA is filed under the name Medicago truncatula (barrel medic). RNAcentral describes it as "long non-coding RNA (MTRU_LNC002026)". Lineage: Eukaryota; Viridiplantae; Streptophyta; Magnoliopsida; Fabales; Fabaceae. The record is from RNAcentral.